Molecule: ribosomal RNA, 157 nt
Filed under: Orbilia crystallina
Lineage: Eukaryota; Fungi; Ascomycota; Orbiliomycetes; Orbiliales; Orbiliaceae
Description: 5.8S ribosomal RNA
Rfam family: 5.8S ribosomal RNA
About the family: 5.8S ribosomal RNA (5.8S rRNA) is a component of the large subunit of the eukaryotic ribosome. It is transcribed by RNA polymerase I as part of the 45S precursor that also contains 18S and 28S rRNA.
Source: RNAcentral
AAACUUUCAACAACGGAUCUCUUGGUUCUCGCAUCGAUGAAGAACGCAGCGAAACGCGAUAGUUAAUGUGAAUUGCAGAAUUCAGUGAAUCAUCGAGUCUUUGAACGCACAUUGCGCCCUCCGGUAUUCCGGAGGGCAUGUCUGUUUGAGCGUCAUG